Molecule: ribosomal RNA, 443 nt
Filed under: uncultured bacterium
Lineage: Bacteria
Description: partial 16S ribosomal RNA
Rfam family: Bacterial small subunit ribosomal RNA
Source: RNAcentral
CCUACGGGAGGCAGCAGUGGGGAAUAUUGGGCAAUGGGCGCAAGCCUGACCCAGCAACGCCGCGUGAAGGAAGAAGGCUUUCGGGUUGUAAACUUCUUUUGUCAGGGACGAAGCAAGUGACGGUACCUGACGAAUAAGCCACGACUAACUACGUGCCAGCAGCCGCGGUAAUACGUAGGUGGCAAGCGUUAUCCGGAUUUACUGGGUGUAAAGGGCGUGUAGGCGGGGAAGCAAGUCAGAUGUGAAAACCACGGGCUCAACCUGUGGCCUGCAUUUGAAACUGUUUUUCUUGAGUGCUGGGGAGGCAAUCGGAAUUCCGUGUGUAGCGGUGAAAUGCGUAGAUAUACGGAGGAACACCAGUGGCGAAGGCGGAUUGCUGGACAGUAACUGACGCUGAGGCGCGAAAGCGUGGGGAGCAAACAGGAUUAGAUACCCGAGUAGUC